Molecule: ribosomal RNA, 350 nt
Filed under: uncultured bacterium
Lineage: Bacteria
Description: bacterial SSU rRNA
Rfam family: Bacterial small subunit ribosomal RNA
Source: RNAcentral
AGAGUUUGAUCAUGGCUCAGGAUGAACGCUAGCUACAGGCUUAACACAUGCAAGUCGAACGAGAGAGAAGGAGCUUGCUUCUUCGAUCGAGUGGCGAACGGGUGAGUAACGCGUGAGGAACCUGCCUCAAAGAGGGGGACAACAGUUGGAAACGACUGCUAAUACCGCAUAAGCCCACGGGUCGGCAUCGACCGGAGGGAAAAGGAGCAAUCCGCUUUGAGAUGGCCUCGCGUCCGAUUAGCUAGUUGGUGAGGUAAUGGCCCACCAAGGCGACGAUCGGUAGCCGGACUGAGAGGUUGAACGGCCANAUUGGGACUGAGACACGGCCCAGACUCCUACGGGAGGCAGCA